CAUUACAGAGGCUGAUACAGAGGGAAGGCUAUCUUAUAGUCAUGUGUUAAGGGGCAGCAGCAGCAGAUGACGGCGCGGGACGAAGAGGAUUUGUAUUUUCGAAACAGUUUCCAGUCUUCAGCAUUGCAGCGCCAAGAGCAAAAAGGACGGUGUUCAAGUAUGCUACUAGCAACGAUGACUGCUAAAGUUUGCACACAAGCUUGCUACUGCAGCUCCAUCCAUCGGUACGUGAAUCCCAUCAAAGUAAUCUGGAUGCUAUGUUGUGCAUCCCCGAAGUUAUGGACACCCUUAGGUUCCUUGGUUUGCUAGGCACUAGCCGGUCGUUGAGCUGGUGAGGGGCUGUGAUUUAACUUCGGAUGGCCCUCAUCACGGGUCCUUAUUUUACUGUAAUGCUUGCUUGACGUGGUAUGGCAGAUGAAUCAUCUUGUGGAUUUUUUUUAUUUGAGAGAAGAUCUAUGGAUGGCCGUAUUACUUGUUUUA
Long non-coding RNA from Triticum dicoccoides, 480 nucleotides. RefSeq lists it as uncharacterized. NCBI's taxonomy places the organism in Eukaryota, Viridiplantae, Streptophyta, Magnoliopsida, Poales, Poaceae. The record is from RefSeq and is a predicted model, not a curated record. The transcript has 3 exons.